This 468-nucleotide ribosomal RNA is filed under the name uncultured bacterium. Its description in RNAcentral is "partial 16S ribosomal RNA". It matches the Rfam family "Bacterial small subunit ribosomal RNA", at positions 28 to 507 of the family's 1533-position model. The record is from RNAcentral.
GACGAACGCUGGCGGCGUGCUUAACACAUGCAAGUCGAACGGAAAGGCCCUGCUUUUGUGGGGUGCUCGAGUGGCGAACGGGUGAGUAACACGUGAGUAACCUGCCCUUGACUUUGGGAUAACUUCAGGAAACUGGGGCUAAUACCGGAUAGGAGCUCCUGCUGCAUGGUGGGGGUUGGAAAGUUUCGGCGGUUGGGGAUGGACUCGCGGCUUAUCAGCUUGUUGGUGGGGUAGUGGCUUACCAAGGCUUUGACGGGUAGCCGGCCUGAGAGGGUGACCGGGCGGGUGGGGGGGGGGGUGGGGGGGAGGGGGGGGGGGGGGGCGGGGGGGGGGGGGGGGGGGGGGGGGGGGGGGGGGUGAUGCAGCAACGCCGCGUGCGGGAUGACGGCCUUCGGGUUGUAAACCGCUUUCGCCUGUGACGAAGCGUGAGUGACGGUAAUGGGUAAAGAAGCACCGGCUAACUACGUG